Long non-coding RNA from Falco peregrinus (peregrine falcon), 15626 nucleotides. RefSeq lists it as uncharacterized. NCBI's taxonomy places the organism in Eukaryota, Metazoa, Chordata, Aves, Falconiformes, Falconidae. The transcript has 5 exons. The record is from RefSeq and is a predicted model, not a curated record.
GAACAAAGAAAGUUUCAUCAGGAACUGAUUGCAAAAGCUGCCCCUUACCCAAGUGAGGCUGUGCCAAAGUCUCUAGUCUGAAAUGCUGAGAUAAGCACUGGUCAGGUGCAAAGAGAGAGAGAGAAGACAGUUUUACUGUUGUAGAAUUCCUGCUGUGCUGUGGCUCUUCAUCUCAUCGCCUUACGUUACUGCUCUAGCUGGAAGAAUAAAGCACCCUUCAGCUGCAUCUCUUUGCUGCCCCAAAAAAUAAAGACUGGAAAAAUAAUGCUGGACUCAUUCUGCCACCCUUUCCUGCCAGGAUUAGUGGAUAGAGUGUACUGAGAGGAUCAUUUGGCACGGUAGGGGACAAGAACUCUCAGGGUGAUGUCAACAAACUCUGGAAGGUGCAGAUCUGGAAAAAAUAAAAGAUGUAUUGAGACGCUCCUGUGAGAGGGCCAUGGUCAGGAAUGUGACUCUACUUGUUUUCUUAAUAUUCAGAGAAGGACAUUGUUGAUGUUAAAAAUAGUAACGAAUAAUCAUGACUACAAAGCCAAAAAAAACCAAAGAGAGAAGAUCCAGGAACCCUGAGUAUGUAAGUCUUCAAGUUUGGCUGGCAUUUGUUUAGCCUUUUUAUUUGGAUUUUUUAUUUGUAAUCAAAUGAAACUUUGAUGGAUCGGUUUCCAGCUAAGCUGACUUUACCUGAAAGGCUAACAAGCUUUUCAAACAAAACACUUUUUUUUUUAAUUGGAUUAUAAAGCUGUCUCCAGUGAUACUUUGCAGGAAUGAAGCAAUGUUAAAUGUUCAAGAGAGGCUUAGCCUUCAGAAUCUGGCAUUUUCAGAGGCCAAAAAAACCCUAGGCUUCUCAACUUUUUUUGUCUGUGUUUAUCUGUGGUUCAUUGACACCCCAGCUGGAGGCAUUUGGUCAUUCAGAUACCGUAAAAGAGAAGAAAAGUAGAACUGAUGUAAAAAAAUAUAUUCUGGCAGACCUUUUUCAUGUUCUUCCAGUCUGUGAAAUGAGGGAAUCCAUUAACAUCACUUUCCUACUUACUUGCAUCUGUAUUUCAGCUCCAUCGGCUUUGUUGGCUACAAGGCUAUUAGCACAGAGGAUAAAAUACAAGAGCAAAACAAGUAGCUCUUAGCAAAACCCUCCAAACCUGAGUGAUAUAAAUGAUGGAGAAAAUUUAUUAUCUGUGUUUGGUGAAAAGCUUAACAAGUGAAUAGCAGGGCUAUAGGGCCACAGAAAAGGAGAGGGAUGGUUCUGCAGGGGUUUUGUACUGAAGUGCAAGCAAAUGUAUGCAGCCUAGAUUAUAGUAUUUACCACCAAUGCCUCGAGGGUUAAGCCUCUUGUCAGCUAAUUAUGAGCAUCCUCUGUGUUGCUCUGGAAAUUGCACAGCUGCAAAGUGUGACUCUGGAGCCCUGCUGCCCAUGCAACAGAGGUGUGGAGAGCUGUACCUCCCAGCCUGCAGUCCUAUCCAUGCCUCUCGUCUUACAGAAGAAGGCUAGCUUCUAUUCUUAUUCUUUCUAAAAAAUCGAACUAGUUUUGUUAUGCUAUAUGUAUAUUAUUGUUGUUAUUAAACUGUUUCAUUAUGUAUUUUUAAUUAUACUCAAAGACAUGAACACUGUUGGUGAUCAACCAUAUGAACAGCUAUGAGAGUAAGUGACACUGAAGAAAUACCCUGGGAGGUGGUAUGUUGUGGUUUGUCAUGUGUGCCUGUAACUUGACUAUUUUGGCUAGAAAAGGAGCGUUUGUCACAGUAAAAUGAAGCCCUUGGUAAUGUCAAAAACAGUCUUGUUAGAUGUCUGUGGAAUCUAGGCUUCCAAUUCACAGUCAGGUGCCACUGGAAGGUGGCACAAGAAGUACCUGAAGUAAUGCCAACCCAAGCUUGUCUAUUCAUAAACAGUGCCUUCGCGCAGAACUGCGUGCUUGGAUCCAAAAUCAAGGUAGCUGCAUUGGAGAAAUGCUGCAUCCUAUCACAUAUCUCGUGGUAGUUAGGGUGCUGCUUAGCAUGGGUAUGGCAGCACCACUUAAUCCCUCUGAAUUCUGCUGCCUCAGGUAUCUGUGCUCUGUUUCAGCAGUUCAUGGGGACCAACGUAAGCAAGCAAGGUGCCCGAGACAUGCGCUGCUGUUCAACAAGAUGUACUCCUUGGCACUUUCACUAUAAUCUCAUGAAGCAAUUUUUCUUACAGUCCUACUUGCUUUAGAUAGAAAACUGGUUCUACGGGAGUCAGGGAGUCCAUUUGAAAAGUCUGAGUAGGAGGAAGGUUUUAGCAAAUAAAUUUGGAUGAAGAAAAUCCCCAGGUCCGGUGUUAAUUAUUAUUAACACAGAAAACCACAGAUAUAUAACACUUGCUCAUUGCCUUCCCACUUUUGUGGUUGUAAAUGAGUCUUACGGUUGUACUGAAUACUCUGAAGUUUCCAUCAAACAUUGGCCCGCACUUACUGAAGCUGUCAACACCCUGUCCCACCAGUGUCAACGGAAUUGUACAGUUUGAUUCUGAUUUUGGCAAUUGGGUAUAAUAUAAAUUCAGCAUAGUGAUGAAUGUAGCACAAGUCUAACAGAAAUCUAAUUAUUUAUGUUUCUGAAUGUGAAUAAAUAGGCUAAAAAUGGAGGUUUGGGGUUGAGUAUCAUAUAUUUGCAUGACUAUACAUUUUUAUAGGCUUACAGGUGGGGCAAGAAAUUCUCAUAUCUAGGCCUACAUAUAUUAGUAUUUCUUAAUCAGCAUUACAGUGUACAAAGCUGGUAAAAGCAUCUACUUAAAGUUUUAACGUUACUUCUGGCAUAACUGUAACUGCUUUAGAAUACAUGCCGAACUGUAGCAGUAGUUAAAAUAAAUACGAAAAAAGUUCGCAUACAUAGAUCCGGAGCAAUAGGUGUAGCUCCUUAGAGCCCAAAGCUGACACAACCUCUUUCAGGUUCUUUUAAAAAUACCAGCAAUACACUACAAAAAAUCCAACCUAGAAACUUGACCUAAUGGGAAUGGUGAAGCAGUACUACCCUUUGUAUUGCUGUUAGUCUGUUAGGCUUUUUUUUAAAAAACCUAAAAAGUUCCAGUGCUGUGAAAAGAUGAAAACAGUGGAGUUAGAGAAAACAUGCAUAUUUUAGGAUGUCUUUAUUUUAAACCCACUCUUCCUCUCACUUCUUUGAAGUCAAGUAAUGUUGCUUAGGUUUGGCUUGUUUUUCGAUCUUCACUGUACAGAAUGUAAUCUUCUGAUUACUCAAAAAGGAAAGAACUUCUUAACUACUGCUGCAGCAUGUGUUUUAUGCAGUUAGCCAUUUUUCUAAGACUGGCAUUUCUUCAUGGAUAGGAAAUGUCUAAUUUGUACUCUUUUUUUUUUUUUUUUUUUUUUUUUUUUUUUUAUUUUGGCUUGCAAUCAUAGAGCAUUGGCUUGUAAUCUCCUCAUACCUUGCAAGCUAUUUGUCACUAGAGGCAAAGCUGAGGUUUCUGUAGCAUGUUCAAUCAACAGUUGAGCAACAGGGUAUCUUUCCUUUGCCAUGUUUUGCAUGCCCUUAGGUUUGGGGCACUGUUACGUGCUUCCUUCUUGUGAUCUGGACAUAAAUCAGAGUUCUUAACUGUUUAGUAUGUUUAAAUAUCCCAUGAAAUUUCUUUCCUGAACUGUGUAAUUCAAGAGUCAACACCCAAGCUUUCUUCACCCCAGUGAUAACUGCUGAUGUUCGCAAAGCACUGUGCAUCAUCCUAGCUGAACUCUCCAAGACAAGCGAGCGUGGUACAAGGCACUAAUGUGGCUGCAACACAAGGACACCUGGAGAGUAUUGCUGCUGCAGGAUGGCACUGUCUCCAGGCUAAUUGCAGUGUCCUCUCUGCAGCACUGCCUAGGUGAUACUCUUACUCUUUUUCGGUUCUGGAGACGGCUUGGCAGUAGGUCAACAAACCUAAAGACUGAUUCCAUUGGGCACAUAAAUAUAUCUCAGACCUCCAUAAAGGUUAUUGGUAGACAGCAAGCUCAGACUGCAGUCCAGCCUACAUCGUAAUUGGGAACAUGGUGGGUUUUUUCCCCUCAUUUUCUUCUCCUUCUUGAGGGGUCAUCCUUUAAUAUUCAUAGUGCUUUGCUGCUUCUGUGUUGUGGCCUUACCCCACUGCUUUCGCUCAGGAAGCCCCAUCAUCUCAAGGAGAAGACUCACCACUGCAAUGUCCAAAAUCAUCAAGUCCUUCAACGUAGUCCAGUGGACAGGAAAGAUGCUUAUCACUGCCUUCUGGGAGCUCAAGAUGCUGAGAUUAUUUACCUAACAUAACCCAUCAGUCUGCAGGGGUCACGGUGUACUGAUUUAGUUCAGAAAAUGGGUUUAGGGAAAGAAUUCAAAUGAGCAGAUGUUUUUUAGGCUUUAAUUAGCAGAGAAAAAAGCUGGUUUUGUGGGAGUACUGUGAUAUGUCGCUACCUUCUGAUUACCUUCUGGAAGAGCAAGUCUCUCUCCAUUGAUUGUGAUUGACUGGAAACUAGCAAGAGUAAGCUUGCAAGGCUAAAGCUAGCUGUCUCGGUGCCUGUCUUGGUUACACAUUCUCAGGUUUGUACAGAGUUUGUCUGAUAAACAUUUUAACACAAGCAUGCAGCCAUGUGCUCUUCUGCAACUCCCAAUUGUUUCUCUCUUCUUUUUGGAUGACAAAUAUUCUUGCUGUGCCUUUCUGUCUGCUGCAUCUUCCAAAUUACCUCCAAGGCUUUCCGCAGUGAAGGUAUAUGUUGUCAGAACAAACCCUACAUAGUAAGAAACCUGUAAUUCUUUUGGCCUGAGUACAUUCAGCAUAAAGCUACAUGAAGAACUGGCCUAAUACCAGUACCUGAAGGUAGACUGGCCCAAGCUGAUGCAGACGGACUGCUUCCAGCACCUUCAUGUAUUGCUUAUUGCUUUUAUAGCUUUUUUUAUCCAUAGGUUGCAAGAUGUCCUUGUGUGGAGGUAAGUGAAAUACAGUUGUCAGGAAUGUGUAGGGAUUUUUUACAUUUUAUUUUAUUUUUUGUACUAUGACAAGACAGUGCCUAUUAUGCUAGUAUCUAUUUUGCUGAGCUUAGCCUCUGAAGAGACCAGUGGUAGUCCAGGCUGCCUAUGGUUAACAGAAAGCAGAACAAUCUAUUUUAGGUAAAGUGUUUUACGAAGGGGAAUUAAACAGCUUUUGGAGGUAUCCACAUUUUUCCAAUGACUAGAAAGGAACCUCGGUGUUUCUGUUGCUCUGGUGGCCAGAGGGUGUUUACAUCUUGGAGGAUGAAAGGAUGAGACCAAGGAACCAGCUCAAGAGACCUAUGGGAAUGUAACAACACCUCUGUGGUUAGGUCCUCUUCCAAUAAGGACUGCAAGCUGAAGUUAAGGAGUUACAGAUCAGUAGCUGUAUCUUACAACUAAAAUCCUCUUUUCAAACUGGGUAUUCAACAUGCAUUUACGUGUAACAACAAUAUCCUUUAUUUGUGUUUUAUGGAGUGGAAGCUUCUAGGAGGCAAUUUCCAGUGCUGAAAGGACUGGCUGAAAGCUUGCCCUCUUUUUCUCUUCAGGUCAAUAUUUUUCAAAUUUUCAAGAACUGCUUUUUCUUUGUAUUGUUGCCUAGCAUUUGGAUGAAUACUGGAUUGAGAAAUAUCUUCUUCUCCAGCAGGAAUAAGGGAUUUACAGAGAAGCUGCAUUUUUCUAAACAGAGGAAGUUAAGAUCAGCACUAGAAAGGUCAUGUACUUUCCUGUUGGUCUGUAUCACUAGAAAUGCCAGCUUUUAAUAAUGCCAUUAAGCUCCACAGAUCUCUGAGUUCUUUGGUGAUACUCAUCACAUCCGUAAGUACUUUUUACCUCUUCUUGGCAAUCUCUUAUUAUUCUUAUGAACAGUCACUAUCCGAUCCAAUCAGAUUUAAACUUCUGAAUCACAUGAAUGUAAAAGCAGUAGUGUUGAGAAAAGGGAUUUUUAAUGUGAAUUAAUGCUCAGAGAGAAGUGGAAUUAUCUUAGCGUUUGCUUAUGUGGCGAUGUGGAAUAUAUGGCGAGCAACAGCUUGAGGGAGGUGUUUCCAUGGAAGCAUCUCUUUAAAGUGUUGUCCUCAAAUUAACUCAGUGAGUCAGUCAGUAAAAGAGACGUGUUUAAGGUAAUGAUUGAAAUUGGAAACUCUGUUUUGCACAUCUGUUUGGUUUAGUUUUUUUAAAGCAUGUUAAGCUUUGUAUUUAGCUACAUUCUUCAUGUGGUACUGUAAUUACUGUCUAUAGCCAUUUUCUUUUUUUUCUCCUCCUUCCCUUCUUUGAAAUUCUGAUUUUUAAACUUUCGUUUAUUAUGACCUUUAUGUUUCGUUUGCCUAUAAGUAACUUUUUUUUUAAUCUCCUGAGCUUUGCUGUGACUUGCUAUUAUUAGGAUGCAAAAUUUCUUUCACACGUGGGCCCUCAAUUCUUUUCGCAUCUGGGCAACAAUAAAAAGGCUAUUGUUUGCUUUAUUUUCUGACCGCUAGGUGAAUAUAAGAUUUGUGUUUCUAAUCUUACCAUGUUUCCUUUGUAGUCUUACUCAACAGACAAUCAGUACUUGGUGUUAAACAUACAAAAUUUGGUAUGCUGAUUGCUGGUCACUUCCUAUUGUACGAAGGGCAACUACGUCAACUAGAUGAGGUGUAUCUUCAGGUCCCUGCCAGAUGGCUGCCUUUGCUCCACAGCCAGCUCUGCUACUGAUUUGCUCAGGUUAUCAACUCCUGAUCUUCUCAAGUGAAAAUGAGCUCAAGUAGCUCUUGACCCCAGCAAUUACUAUUCAAAUGACCCGGUCCACAGGUGUUUGCAUGGAGUAGCUGUGGUCAGAAGAGGAUGUACAGUCAAGCCUUACUGGGAGUUACUCAUGACUAAACUUUCUGGGCUCACAUGCCACAAACCUUUCCUCUUUUUUGAACAACAGUCCAAUUCGCAGUCCAAGAAACCUUUCUUUCAGAAGUUUUAUCAUUAUAAAAUAUAUGAAUCACAAAGAGUUUUGACAAAUUGGCAUUCCUUAAGAAGUGGAAGGUCCUAAACACCUACCUCCAACUCUAACCACCUUUCCUGACUCCUUGGGGUUUUAGGCAAUGCUUCAGAAAGGCAGCUUGAGUGAUCUGCUCUCAUUUCUUUUGAAGGGCUCAAAUGACAAGACCCUGAAUAUGUGACCAGUGAGACACUGGAGUAUUAUGUUUUUCCAUCAAGCUGUGAUGAGUGGCUUGACAUACCAAAUUUCCGUUCCAAGUUCCUGUUUACAUUUAUGUACACUAAUGUUGAAUACAAACCUCUGUGCUGACCUUCUACAAAAUACAAGUAAUAAAUUAUCCAAGCUGUUUUGAAUCAAAUGUAAGAAAACCAAAGUUAAUUGAAAGGGCUUAAGGGUGGAGGGUGGGUGGUAUAGCGGCUUCCUUCUUCUCCAGGGUCCCUGAGGUCUGCCGUGCUGGUUCUCCUGCAGAGUGAUUUCUGUAUUGAGCAAGGCUCAAGUUAUGCUGGCAAGCCUGGCCAGGUUCCCAGGAAAGGUGGAAGGACUUUGUGAGUUUUUCCAGCUUCUGGUUUUGUAUUCAAGGGCUAUAGAAUGGUUUCCUGCUCCUCCCAGGCUUCCUCUGUCCUGGGCUUUUCAUGCCAGGGUGGGCAUAGCGCACCUGCCACUGCAAGUUUAGCAGCCAUCCUGAGCUGACUUUGUUUGCUUGUGCCUUUGGCUGUGAGCAGUAGUCCUGAACUGACCAGGCACUUUUCAGAGGCAUGAGCUGUGUGACUUGGCACCAGAUGAAGGCUGCACCAGAUGAAGGCUAUGCCAGCUGCUCUGCAUGACACACUAAAUAGAAUUUUUCUGCUGUCGAGUAGGAAAGUAUUAUUUACAGGCAUGACCUAAAGCGUCCCCAUUUUAUUUCUCAGGCAUUUUUGACACGCUGCUUCAUGUGCAACUGCAUUUUGUGAAUAAGGGUUUCCAGCGAGUUCCCAUGCUGCAUGUGCAAUCCUAGAUGCAGCGCACUUUUACAGGCUGUUAUUUGCUGUAACAACAGCUGAGGUGAUGACACACUCCAUAAGGCAGUUCUUGCCUCCAAGAUCUACAUAAGGAAAGAGAAUUUAAGAAAGGAUUUUUUAAGGUGAUACUAUGUUCAAAAGCAUGGACCCUCAAAAGGCUUACGAGUGUGAAACAGAACAAAUCCUCCAUAUAACCCUUUUCUGGCUGUGGUAAUGACAGGUGUGUGUUUUGUCUUUAAAUAGCAGAUAAUUUGUCUUUGCUUAUACCCCUAGCAUGAGGAGAAUCUACUCCAUGAUGAGCUUUAGGUAAGUGGAUUUGUUAAACAUUUUUCAAAUAGUCUUUUCCUUUCUUUAGCACUAGAAGAAAUUUGUCUAUGUGGGUACCUGCAUCUCCUGUUGAUCACCAGGUUAAUGGUGUGUCUUUGAGGGGGAAAAAAGAAAAAGACUACUCUUCCUAGGGGAAAUGCAGGGCAGCAGUUAAGGUAAGAGGUGUGGGAAUAUAUGGGCCAUACCUGAAAUGGCAUCAAGAGCUGCAGUGUGCUGGGGAGGCUGGUUACUUGUGAGCCAAAACUCUGAAAUAAUGGGCAGAGGGAAUUGUGGGUCAGAUGCUUAAAUGUCUGCCCGUCCAAGAGGGAGGCAACAGGACUGGAAGUAGCAAAUGUAGCAUGUUAUCCACGUAAGAAGGGAGAAAAUGGUGACCAGACUUGGUCUACCAGGUGACCAGGUAUGUUGUAGCGUGUAAGGCCUCAGAAAAUUUUUUAAGAAAAGAAUUAUUAACAUAUGGAGGCUGAUAAAGCAGAUAGUCAAGUGCAGGUAGGCUGUACUAACCCACAAACUUUUAUUAUUUUAUUUCUAGGCCUGUAGAAUUCUUUAUCUGUGUUCCUGUGAAGCUCUGAGUAUAUUCUCAGAAAGGAAGUAAUUUCUAAAUCUUGAGGAGAGAAUACACCAAGGGUGCUGGAAACUGUUCUACAUGCCUCCUGAAUGGAUUGUACUUAUCGUCUGCUUUAAUCUUCAAAGUGGAAGACCAGCAGUUGAAUCUGCCACACAGUAAAUACUACACCUUUCAGAAAGUGAUGGGACUAAGAACAAGCGACUUUCCAGAGGAAAUAUCAGUAAAAGAGACACAAUUACGUGCUUGAUAGUACAAAUAAAUGGGUUGUAUGAGCUAUUUCUCCUUCCUCACGCUGUCCUUUGCUGUAAUAGUUGCUGUCUUCAUCUCCAUAGUAUCCUGCUACAUAAGAGUGCUUCAUCUUUGCAGGCAAGUACAUGACAUAUCGCAGAUGUGAAAGACAUCCUGCAACUGGUAAUGACCUUUAUGUGGACUAGUGCUAUGAGUAAAAGGGGAGGGAGUUGGGUUGAGUCUCAUGCGCCUGUUUGGUGUGUGCAAUCCCACUGUAGACUCCACUGGAAACCUUGACAGUUAGCUGUGUUCCCAUUUUCCAGGACUUGUACUUCCAUACACUAUUUCUUCAUUCAUGAGAAAUGUCUGUGUGUUUCCCAAGGCACCACAUCUAGAAAGUGAUGCUCGAUUGCCGCCAGGCCCUGGUGUAGCUGUCGGGUUGUGUUAAGCAUCCUCAGAUGAGCAGGGGCAGGUCUGGGGCCGCAGCCUGAGGCAUCGAGCACAGGCGGGCAGCUCCUUCCUACCUGCAUCCCCAGUACCAUUCCUCCCAGCCGGCUGUGGUCCCCAGCGAGUGCCUUGACAGACAGGCUUUCAUCCUGGCACGGUGUGCCCUGUUGUCCUUAAUGCACCCUGGGCUGAAAAAAGUCCUGGUCUGUAUUCCUGAUGCCAAGUUUCAGUGAAAAGAAGAACCGCAAGCAUGGAACAAUGAUAUCUGAUCAAGGGUUUCGGUCUGUGGAAAAGCUAAUACGUAAUAAUUAUUCUGAAAUGUCUGUUUUGAAUAUCUCUGAAUAUCACAAGCUCUAUAUUUCAUUCUCUUAUAUUUUAUUCAAGAAUAUUUUUCACAUAAGGAAGCUCUAUGGACUUUUUUCGAACUCCCACAACAAUGAAACAAAGUGCUCUGUGGUAUCUGGCACGUGAAGACCCUUGCUGUGACUAACAGGGGAGAAGGCUGGUAAGUCAAAUCUUAUUUGCUGUAACCAGUAACAGUUUAUGAGGCCUGCGGAGACCAAGCUGAUAAAUAAAGACCAGGACCAAUCCGAGCAUGGUGUGGGGAUCAAGGACAGCAGGUAACAUAUUUAUAAAUGGGCUAUACAUAAUUUAUUGAAAUUAGCAUAAAGUUACAGUUUUACAACUCUGUAAGUCUUGAGUUACACAUCAGCUGUAACAGAGACACCUCUUUAAAUCUUAAUAUAUGCAAAAUGACACUUGUUACCUUUAGGUUUUAAAAAAAAAAGUCCUUCCAAUACAAUUAAGAAGCAAUUCUUGUCUUCUCGCUGCAUUAAUUUAUGCUUGUUACUUAAACAAAGAAACACUUAACUUUAAAGUAACGGAAGUCUUAGGUUUGUGAUGUUGUAAUGUUUAUUGAUACUGCAACAAUUUUAAUGGAGUGCAUUAACUGAUUAUUAAGACUAUGUUCUCACAAAGUGAUGGAGAUACUUAGCAAGACUCAAAAGCAACAGCUUAAGUAGGUCAUAUUAUGCCAGGAAAGUUAUGCUCGUUGAUAAGCAUAAUAUUUGGGCUUAAGUUUGGAGAGGUUUUAGAGAGCACCCAAACUAUAUAUCCAGAGGUUUUUCAAUCAUCUUUUUUAAAGAGGUAAAACUAUAUUUUCCUGUGCAGAAGAACUGUUCAUAAUCAUUUUAGUAGUUAACGUUAUUCACCUUUUACAGCAAGAAGAUGGUCUCGUGAUGUAGUAUUACCUCUUUGGACUUGAGCUAUCAGCUAUAGUUUGGAUCUGUUUGCUUUAGGUAAAGAAGCUAAUGAUGGAGUCAGUCAUCCUUGUCAAUCCUUGAAAUAUCCUUCUGUAUUUCUAAGAAAUGUUCAAAUUCCUGUUCCAUGAAUGCAGCUUAAGAACAGGACAGAGAAUAUUUUGCUGUGAUUUGAUUUUUAAGGCCCUUUGUUACUUUUUCCUGCCUUUACUGCCUGAAGCAUCUUUCUGCUAGCACUGAGCCCAGAAGUUCAGAGAUUUAUUCAAUACCUUUUAAGUUCUGCUAUGUGUGACACAUACGAAAGGCUGUUAUAUAUUUUCCUUGUAAAGAGACACAACUGCAGUAAAAACACUCCUGUCAGUUUCUAGGUUUUAAGAGAAACAGGCAGGGAAAACCCUGCGUAUUGGCUAAGGCUGAAGGCUGUGACGAAGAGCUUCCUGUCUUGGAUUCCUAUUCAGGUUUAGUGUCUACUACCAUCUUUCUUUGGGAAAGCAAAUAUUGGUCUCGUUACUCCCUUAAUUACCCCUUAUAAAGCCAAAAAUAUUUGUGUAGGAUGAACUGUAACCAAUUAAAAAGCAGCUACUGCCUGCGUGCUUUUGUCCAUAGGAUGUCUUACUUACAUGUAAGUUCUUUUAAGACAAUAGGAACUGUAAUUAUGGCCUGGGUUAGAUUUUAGUUUUCAGUACUUUACAAGAAGCUACGCUGUUAACAGACAGAGACUACCUUCUUAUUCUGGUGAAGUCAUUCAUUACAUGCAUGUUAAAGAUGGGCACUUGAGGUCUAUAGAAAACCCCCGGGAAUAGAAUAAUGUUAAAGAAAAAAAAGCAUUACAUUUCUCCCUGCGUAUCUUAAGGCAGGGGACCAACAUCCAAUUUAUACUGCAAGGAGAGUGGGGAUGGUUCCUGCACAAUGUGCAGUGUCGGGUUGCCAAGAAUAAAAUCCUCCAAAAUCAUUCCACGGUUUUUAUGGGUGACAGUGGGCUUGGAUCAAACCAGUUUAUGUGGCACAGGCAUCACUGGGAGAAGUUGCUGUGACAGGAGAAAAAUUUUCUGAUGUAUGGCACAGAGAGGUCUCCUAAUUGCAAGAUCUCACAGCUAUGCAGCAGAACUGGUUUGCCUGAUGAAGUAAGACGAUUACUGUAGUACUCGAUCCAGAGAGGGCCCUCCUCGCACCUGACUUGACUUGAGAUCCUUUACUGAUUAUUGUGGCAGGAAUGGAAUGGAAUGGAAUGGACUAUUCAGAUGGAAGGGACCUACAACGAUCAUCUGGUCCAACUGGCUGGCCAGUUCAGAGCUGACCAGAUGUUAAAGCAUGUUGUCAAGGGCAUCGUCCAAAUGCCUCUGAAACACUGACAGGCUUGGGGCAUUGCCCACCUCUUUGGGGAGCCUGUUCCAGUGUCUGACCACCUUCUCAGUAAAGAAAUCCUUCCUAAUGUCCAGCCUAAACCUCCCCUUGUGCAGCUUUGAACCACUCCCAUGUGUCCUCUCCCUGGACCCCAGGGAGCAGAGCUCAGCACCUCCCUCUCCGCUUCCCCUCCUCAGCAAGCUGCAGAGAGCAAUGAGAUCACCCCUCAGCCUCCUUUUGUCCAAACCAGAUGAAUCCUGAGUCCUCAGCCACUUCUUAUUUCCAGUUCUUCACCAGCUUUGUUGCCCUCCUCUGGAUGCAUUCAAGGACCUUCAUAUUAGAUGAUAAUAAUGGGUAAUCACCAAUGAACUACAUAUUAAGGAAGGUUACUGUAUUUGAGAUGUAUUAGAUACCAGCUGGUUUGAUUUUGCUGUUACAUUUGCAGAUCUAGUUUAAAGGUCUGUACAGAAUUGGCAUGUAGGAUAAUUAGUUGUAUGGAAAGUAAGUUCAAAGAAAUGGGAUUUAUUCUCUCGCCUUAUGGCAACACAUUGCCUUUAGGUAACUCGCCUAGAGUUGUCCAAAAGCAGUUUCAGGGAUGAAGACUCAGAAAGGAGAUACUGCCAAGCACUUCUCAACAAUAAGUUACAAAUGGUGUCAUUGAUGAAAUAAUCUGUAAUUUUUAAACUAGAGUUUGAGGUGUUGAAUGCUUUAUUUGGAAUGCACAAUUCUAUACAGAAUUGGUGCAUAUAUGGACUUUGAAAGAGUACCGUGUUUGUGCAAGAUUAUUUAUUUUGGCAAAAAUCCUCACUUUAAAUCACUCUCAAACCCAUCUUUUAGGCAGAAGUCAUUUGGAUAGAAGACAAAUAAGCGUGGCUCUUGUACCUAUGCAGUGGCUCCAUAGGCAGCACGUGGAGGCCAGCAGGCUGUACAACACAGGUGCAGAAGAAUUGCACAGGUUUGAAAUGUGAGAUGAGUCUUUUCUUCAGUGUAAACAUGCUCAGCUGGCUGCCAGUAAUUAUACUUGCUCGUCCUGCUACCGGCAACACCACGUCCAGUGUCAGCCAAGGGUUAACAAAUUGUGUAGGAAGAAAACAAUGGAUUUCUUAAAAAAGAAAUCUUUGAACUGUCUGUGAAUAAUAAAGGAGUGAACAAUGUCUACUUUCCUAAAGCACUUUGAGAUCUGUAAAUUAAGGUUUACAUAAGAGUGUAAAUAUUAUUAUUUAUUUAAGAGCUCUCACAUUACCCUUCACCACUUCUCUUCUUCCUCUUCCUCCUUACUUGUUUGUUUGGAAGAUGCUAUUUGCAUUCAUGUAUAUGUGUCCAAAGUGGGAGGCAAUGAGAGGAUGUGGCAUGUAGGAUUGGUAAAAGGAACAGGAGCAGGGAGGAGAGGGGAUGAGGGGUGUGGGCAAGGUGAGGGGAGAGGCUAUAAAAAGAGUAAGGAAAGGUUAGCAAGAGGGGAAUAAUAUUGGAUUUCUUUUGUAAUUAAAAAUUUCUUACCUUAAAGCAUCAGCAGAUCUUUGUUUUGGGGUUGGGGUUUUUUUUAAUGGACAUUUCUUAAACCUUUUAGUUAAAUUUUCAAGACAAAUAAUAAAAGUUUACAGCAGCUAUGGUAAGGAAAACUUUUAAAAUUUAUUGGGGCUUUAGUUGUCAAAGCAUGUGAUAUGAUUCAUAUUUUUAGCAUUCUGGCUGAAAUAAAAUUCAGACUACUGCUGGGGCUAUUUUUUCACGUGCCGUGUUUUAGUCUGCACCUCUUUCCCUGCCAUCAUGCCUCCCCUGGGACAAAGUGGGAAGCACUCACCAUCAUACUGCAGGGCUGUGCGGAGCGCCCACCGCUCUGAACCCACAGUCCCCCGUGCCUGUACUGCAGGCUCUGGGUGAGCAGUCCCUUAUGUUUUGGUAAAUGUUGAGAAUGGGUACUGGUAUACGUUAGUAGCAAGACAUCAACUAAAUAGGAAGUUAAAAGAAAAUACUGCAGGAAGAGUAAAAACAAUUGUAAUGUGUGACUUGAACUGAAACCAUAGCUGUCAUGGGAGGAUGUGAACAAAAUAACCCCGCUCACUUGUAUCCCAAGGAUGCAUUUGUACUGGCAAAAACAUUUGGGGCAUGGUUGUAAUAGAAUACACUGGUUUUAUAGUGAAGGGGCUGCUCAAUUUUUAUAACACCGAAACAGAUCCCUUUUUCCUUUCAAACACAUCUGUCUAAAAUUGUUGGACAUGGUAUUCUUUCAUAAAAACUGUCCUUCCUGUAUUGAAAUAGUUCUUUUUGUGUUGGAAAGCCUUUCCUGUAGUUUUUCUCUCUGUGAUUCCUUCACAUUUUAUUUCCCCCUCCUGUUCCUGGCACUGGCUCUGUUGAAUGUUGUCUCUUUAUGACUUACUUCCAGAGCUGAGUAGCGAAGAAUGUUAACUACCAUAACUCCAUUCAUUUUUUUGCAUAUCACUUAUGGAAGAUGAAAUGCACAGUGUUGUAAUACAGAACCUUGUGAUAGGAUUCUGGUUCUUUAGACAUUAAAUGAAGUGUUUUCUAAUUGCUGUCAAAGUAGUCUUAGGAGUUCUUUACUAUUCCCAACUAUAGCAGAAAUAAUGGGCAAAAAAUUGUUCUGAGGAUGCAUUGCAACCAUACUCACCUAAAGCAGAAGAGUGCAGGGUAGCUAAAAGCAGACAACUUCCUGGUAGGUACUGAAGCUUCAAAGACAAAUUUAUAGUUCUUAAUGGAAAAUAAAUUAAUUAGUCAACAACAAAGUUGUAGCAUUUCCAUUGUGUUCCAAAAUCAAAGCAUCCUAUAUAAUGGCUGGUUCAGAGUCUGCCUCAAAUAUUAAUCCUUAGUAAAUACCCAGAUGUACAUCAAUAUGAAUUUAAUAUUCACAAAAUGUAUCUGACUGGGCGUUUUCAUUAAUAAAAUUAAUUGCUGAAGUGUUUACAUGCAGAAUACUUUCGAGACAAUAGAGAAAGCCAGGGCUUAAAUUCUUCCAGGUAACAGCACAAAGGGAGGAGGUGUUCUUGAGCUGAGUAUGGGUAAGUCCUCAACUAAAUAGUCGUUCUGGCUGUAAUUCAUACAGAAAUCAGCACUGGUCUCCCUCAGUAAUGAUCAGGGCUGUGUGUUUUACAUAUCUGAAAGAAGAAAGGCAAAUUUAUAUUAAUGCUUGCUCCCAAAUAUAGGCAACUAGAUUGAUUCUAGUUUCUGAACAGGUUAAAAGAGACAAUGUUGUGUCCGAAUGGUGGAAACAAUACCAAUUCUUUUCAGAGCUAUGUAGCUGUUGUCUAGAGUCCCAACAUCUUGAAUGUACAGGAAAUGUUCAGCUGUGCAUUCUUUGGAUUUGUGGAACAUUGCAAAUUAAAUUAAACUGUAAGAGAGACAGUUUCUCUCCUAAUGUUAGCAGAGGGUCUUGCUCAUGCAUGCUGUCUUUUGAAGCUGUGUCUACUGAAAGAGCAAACCUCAUCAUGUGAAUAUUAUUAUAUUAGUGAAUAUAUAUCUUGGGCUGCUCUGAUACCUUUGCCGAAUGGAUGACCAUUUCUUUUACCUGCCUGUAAUUAUUUUUAUUUUAGUUGUGAUUUAGGUGAGCUUGGUUUA